AGUGAACGCUGGCGGCAGGCCUAAUACAUGCAAGUCGAACGGCAGCACAGCAGAGCUUGCUCUGUGGGUGGCGAGUGGCGGACGGGUGAGGAAUACAUGGGAAUCUGCCCAGUCGUGGGGGAUAACGUAUGGAAACGUACGCUAAUACCGCAUGCGCCCUAAGGGGGAAAGCCGGGGACCGCAAGGCCUGGCGCGAUUGGAUGAGCCCAUGUUCGAUUAGCUAGUUGGCGGGGUAAAGGCCCACCAAGGCGACGAUCGAUAGCUGGUCUGAGAGGAUGAUCAGCCACACUGGAACUGAGACACGGUCCAGACUCCUACGGGAGGCAGCAGUAGGGAAUAUUGGACAAUGGGGGCAACCCUGAUCCAGCCAUGCCGCGUGAGUGAAGAAGGCCCUCGGGUUGUAAAGCUCUUUUGUCCGGAAAGAAAAGCAAUCGGUUAAUACCCGGUUGUCCUGACGGUACCGGAAGAAUAAGCACCGGCUAACUUCGUGCC
This 492-nucleotide ribosomal RNA is filed under the name uncultured bacterium. RNAcentral's name for it is "bacterial SSU rRNA". It matches the Rfam family "Bacterial small subunit ribosomal RNA", at positions 29 to 509 of the family's 1533-position model. The record is from RNAcentral.